UGCGCGUAAUCUCGCAACGUCGCAACCUUGCAUGGCAACAGUGGAUUUCUUGAAGUGCAGCGACAUUCUAUGGCAGCGAACAAUGUGUAUCCACAUAACCUGUAAUAAGUUUUUGUUCGGUGCAGAAACAACCAUGGAAAACAUUAUAUGGAGAAUAUCUCAUUUUGCAUACGAGUAUUUCGCUGAAAAAGAAAAUUCUGUGAAAUCAACAUUUUGGGCUACAUAGUCGUUGUUAAAGUCAACUCUGUUAAUAUAAAACAGCAUAGAUAUAAUCUAAGUACACCAAGUUCUCAAGCAAAAAAUAUAGGUUAUGUUUCCCAGAAAUCAAAUAUAUUUACAAGAGAAAACUUACGAAAAUUUUUAACAGAGGCCCGUGAUUAAUGUACCUAAUGUCAAAGGUAUAUUUUUUAUUCGAAGUUGUAGGAGUAUGCGGAAUGGAAGAAUUUGAACAAUUUUCUUGUAUCUACAUAACCUAUAAUAAGCUUUUAUUAUUAUUACAGAACAGAUUAUUAGCUUACAUGCCCAUUUUAAAUGAAAAAAGAUCUGUAGCAAUUGCAAAAUAGAGAUGGAUAGCAAUAAUAACAAGCAGUUUACAUGCAUUCGACCGAACUUGCAAAAACUGGCAGAUAAUAUAUCAAAUUUAUUACCUAAAAACUCAGCCACAGUUUAUGAAAAGCGGUAUGAAUUUUUUUUUUGCGCAGAAACAACCAUGCAAAAUAUAUGGAGAACACCUCAUUGCAUACGAGUAUUUCGCUGAAAAAGCAAAUUCUGUGAAAUCUUUAACACUUUGGGCUGCAUAGUCGUAGUUAAAGUCAACUCUGUUAAUAAGAAACAGCAUAGAUAUAUCUAAGUACACCAAGUUUUCAAGCAAAAAAUAUAGGUUACAUUGCCAAGAAAUCAAAUAUAUUUACAAGAGAAGACUUACCAAAAUUUUUAACAGAAGCCCGUGAUUAAAUGUACCUGAUGUUAAAGGUUUAUUUUUUAUUAGAAGUUGUAGGAGCAUGUGGAAUGGAUAAAUUGAAAAAUAAUGACGGCAUUCAAGACAAAAACGAUACGCUAAUAAUUAAAAUUCCAACGUCUAAAACUGGCAAAGCACGAGAAUUUACAAAUAUGUGUAAAAAUAUUUAUCCAAUUGAAAUAUAGUAAAAAUACCUAAUUUUAAGACUGCACCAUACACCAGACAAAUCAUUAUUUAUACAUUACAUUUGGAUAGUCAAUGCAGCAGCUGCUGCAUUGUACAAAUAUACCUGCAAACACACUGUAACAAAUUAUGCAGACACCUCUUUUGACUAAAAGAUAUAUAUUUAACUUUAUCCAUACGUUGUCAACUUUGUUAAUAAUUGCAAUCUCUAACUUCAUAAGAAAUAUGAAUAAUCUACUUUGGUGUUUUAUAGUAGUAUUAAAUGUUCAUAGAAUAUAAUUGCACUUACUACGAAGUAAGCUUUCCUAGUUUUAAGUUGUUUUCUUUUCUCUUUGAUUAUCUUAAUUUCUUCAGCCUCUAUGUGGCUGUUUUAAUUCCAAAAAAUUAUUUCUGAAUAAACUGAUUCAUACCACCUUUUCUUUCUUUUACUCGAAAACAGUUUAAACUAUAACUCCAAAUAUUUACCUACUUUAAAACGUGUCAAGCAUUCGCUUGUUGUAAAUGAUGCAACCAUAAAUACAAAUUUGAACACUGAUAUGACAGGUUUGAGGCUAGGAUGUGGUUUUCAUAUUCUCCCAUUACUUGUUGCCUAAAUCUGGCGCGAGGCC
This is a long non-coding RNA of Zophobas morio, 1749 nucleotides long. RefSeq lists it as uncharacterized. The transcript is spliced from 4 exons. Lineage: Eukaryota; Metazoa; Arthropoda; Insecta; Coleoptera; Tenebrionidae. The record is from RefSeq and is a predicted model, not a curated record.